AUGGAGUUAAAAGCAGCAUCCAAACUCCCGCGCCGCUCCGCCGGCGGCGUCCUACCGGGGACCAGCAGCCGACGCCGCCUCCGUGCCGCCGGGGAAGCAGGGUUACUUACGAGCGCCCGCGAAGACACGUGUGUGUGUCCACCCCUCACCACCACCGGCGGGCCUGCGGCGAUCGACACCGUCCGCCGCGCUCCUCGUCCCCGGCUCUCCUCCCACAGCCGUGCGGCGACGAGCGGGGAAGACGGCCGGCCAAUCUGUGGGGUUUGUCUUCCCCACCGAAUACUUUCUCCCCGCACGUCUGCGGCGACCGUAGGAGCGAGUGUGCGCGGAGGGCAGAGGCGACACGGGCUGUCAAAGUUGCUCCGGCUUGUGUCAGUCUGCAACAGCUCUGAUCGGAAACACUUGUUUCACACCUUCCAGCCAGAGUGCGGUCUCGUCAAACCGGGGUCCUGCUUCUUUCACAGCUCCUUUAACAGGCUGUGAUUCACGGCUCCCGGAGUGCUGAUUUUCCCCUCAACAGAUCUAACAGCUGUGUUAACAAGUUGAGGCCCUGUGUGCAAACUGGAGCACAAGGAAGGCUGUUCAGCUCAUGCUGCUUGUCUGGCUGGUAAAGCCUAUUGAUCCAAGCACCUCAUCCAGCUGUGACAUGAAGGAUCCCAAUUAAUCUGAGUUACGAUGGGGAGACAAGGAGUCCACUUGCUAAGUCCUGUUGAAGGUAAGCUGAGAGGUGAGAGCUGGGCAUGCACUGAGCACACAGACAGAGGGAGCUGCGUAGUCCCGCAGGUCUGGAGAACGGGGACCUGCGCAGUCCCGCAGGUCUGGAGAACGGGGACCUGCGCAGUCCCGCAGGUCUGGAGAACGGGGGAGCUGCGCAGUCCCGCGGGUCUGGAGAACGGGGACCUGCGCAGUCCCGCGGGUCUGGAGAACGGGGAGCUGCGCAGUCCCGCAGGUCUAGAGAACGGGGGAGCUGCGCAGUCCCGCAAGUCUAGAGAACGGGGGAGCUGCGCAGUCCCACAGGUCUGGAGAAUGGGGGAGCUGCGGAGUCCCGCAGGUCUGGAGAACGGGGACCUGCGCAGUCCCGCAGGUCUG
Molecule: long non-coding RNA, 1089 nt
Filed under: Lepisosteus oculatus (spotted gar)
Lineage: Eukaryota; Metazoa; Chordata; Actinopteri; Semionotiformes; Lepisosteidae
Description: lncRNA (ENSLOCG00000022609.1)
Source: RNAcentral